This 250-nucleotide ribosomal RNA is filed under the name uncultured bacterium. RNAcentral's name for it is "partial 16S ribosomal RNA". It matches the Rfam family "Bacterial small subunit ribosomal RNA", at positions 524 to 773 of the family's 1533-position model. The record is from RNAcentral.
UACGUAGGGUGCGAGCGUUGUCCGGAUUUAUUGGGCGUAAAGAGCUCGUAGGCGGUUUGUCGCGUCGGCCGUGAAAACCUACAGCUUAACUGUGGGCUUGCGGUCGAUACGGGCAGACUUGAGUUCGGCAGGGGAGACUGGAAUUCCUGGUGUAGCGGUGAAAUGCGCAGAUAUCAGGAGGAACACCGGUGGCGAAGGCGGGUCUCUGGGCCGAUACUGACGCUGAGGAGCGAAAGCGUGGGGAGCGAAC